Long non-coding RNA from Gopherus flavomarginatus (Mexican gopher tortoise), 777 nucleotides. RefSeq lists it as uncharacterized. The transcript is spliced from 3 exons. The record is from RefSeq and is a predicted model, not a curated record. Lineage: Eukaryota; Metazoa; Chordata; Testudines; Testudinidae.
GAGGAGCCUGGACAUCCUUCCAAGCAGACAUGAAUGGUCCUCAGACUUCUGCCUCCCGCACAACUGGCUGUGAUGCCAAGGAAAGAGAUGUCACGUGUGAGAGUCUACAGCCCUCGUGAUGGAAAACGAGUGAGAGUGACGAGACUGCAAGCGUUGUUGGUGCCAGGCAGCAGCUGUCCAUCUGGGAGCAGAACAGCCGCUACUGUCACUGAGAUAAGUGUUUCUUUUGCUGAGGGUUCUGCUCCUCCAGGUAGGGACACCUCGUUAGCUGGGGCUGGGUUUGUAAGAAAAGGUUCCUGACUAGCUGUUGUUAUGAGGGAGACAAGGUCCCCAUUUUCAGGGGCUGGUGAGUUCUCUGACCAGUAGCAGUGUGUCCUCUGCAGUGGAAGGUUAGAUCUGGGAGGAUGACUGCAGGUGGAAAGUCGCUUGCCAUCUUCCCAUGUUUCUCUCUUUCUUCUCUACUGUGUUGGCCAACAUUCUCUCUCUCUCUCUCUCUGUCCCUGCCUCUCCUUGUGCUGUCUUCCUUUGUAGGACACAGGCAGGCGUGCUCGGAGUGCAUCCCCAUGGCCUACGUAUCAGGAGCCAUGAAGAAGUAGGAGAGGAUGAAAAUAAUGCAGAGCAAUGGGCACGAGAGCGGAGCGCUGCGCUUGCAGAGGAAUUGUCCAGGAGCCCUCGCUGGAGGAGAAACUGGCAGAGGUGGAUCUGAGCAGCUUGGACAUCCUUCUAAGGAGACGUGAACAGUCCUGAGCUUUCUGCCUUCUGCAUAACUGGCUGUGA